UUUUGCAAAAUUAAUGGAUAAAAAAUUAGAACGAUGUCCAUGUACCAUGAAAAGAAGUUUAUCAGACAUUAAUACAAAGGUAUAAUGUGGUUUUAAAUUUUAAAACAAAUUUAAAGAUUAUAGGCUUCAUAUAUAGAGCAUUUACCGAAAACUCACUAUUUUCGUAGGGGGGUUGGUUAACACAUUGAUUUUGAAAAAAAAAUCAAAAAAAUUGAAAAUACUGUUUUAAUACAUAUUUGAAUCAUGUAAUAAAAUAUGAUGAAGUUCAAAGAGGUUUGGAACCUUUGUUGUCUCCG
RNAcentral lists this long non-coding RNA (296 nucleotides) under Brassica rapa (field mustard). RNAcentral describes it as "long non-coding RNA (BRAP_LNC003144)". Lineage: Eukaryota; Viridiplantae; Streptophyta; Magnoliopsida; Brassicales; Brassicaceae. The record is from RNAcentral.